This 217-nucleotide non-coding RNA is filed under the name Syntrophaceticus schinkii. The record is from RNAcentral. Lineage: Bacteria; Bacillati; Bacillota; Clostridia; Thermoanaerobacterales; Thermoanaerobacterales Family III. Incertae Sedis.
UUUAGCUAUAUGCGUACAGGUGGCCGAGAAGGCUGAAAAGGGAAGCCGGUGUAAAUCCGGUGCGAUCGCGUCACUGUGAGGGGGAUCACCCUGCAGAUACCACUGCCGGCACACAGCUGCAGUUAUGAUUGACUGCAGAUUCUAUCCGGUGCGGGUGGGAAGGUGCAGGUGUGAGAUGAUCCCGAGCCAGGAAACCUGCCUGUUCGCUGGCAUCGUU